AUGAGAACAAACAGUUGUCAGUCAGACAGCAGCGGCUUCCUAGAGGAGCCCUUCAUACCUGCGCUAUCCCCGCAAAACAGCCCAGGACCCAAGCUCACGAAGAUGCUGAAUGCAAUAUCAAAAGAUAGUAAAGAGGAUCAACAGAAGAGAUUACAACAGCGAGAAAUGGAGGAUCCCCCUGCAGGUGAACCGAAUUGUGAAAUGGAGUCAAACCAAAAACCCUCGCCUACAAAAGACUCUGGCAAAACUGUUUUGGGAACAGCAGACUCUGAAACUAUGUUUGACUCAGGAGAGUUGAGGAAAAUAAGAAGUGAAAAAGAAAUCACUUUAUCCCCAGAUAUUAGUAAAGUUGGCAGAAAUAAUGUUUACACUCUAGCAUACUUUGUUCAAAUGGAUCCAGUCCAAAAUUAUCCUACCGAAAUUCGUGACCGACUGCGCGGAUCAAUUAGUCCAGACAGUCGUGUUUAUAGGGAGGGCAUGUCCUUGCUUGAGGAACUGAAAUCUGCUGAGACGAACUCACACUUGAGUCCUACUGAUCUGAGGACAGAUGUUUUGGAAAAGGGGGUGGGUAACUUUACAAAUAACCUUGAGGUGAGCAAAAAAGAUCCAGCUUUGGAUUUGAUUCAGGAAUCUCCUGCUUCUACCCACAACAAAACCGUGACCUCUGAUGCAGCCGCUGGACACAAUUCCCCCACAGCACUCAAACUCAGGAGAGAGUCUUUCUCCAGGAGAUCCUGGUCUGAUGGGAUCACAGAUAAUGACUCAGGAACAGCACAAACACCCACUACACAGACACCAUUCACAUCUGUGGACACAUCCCCACCUCACUUAUGGAACUCAGUGGAAAGUUCUGGAGAUCUUGGGCGUUUGCAUACGCGGUCGAUAUCUCUGGACACGGGACUGUCUUGUGAGGAGGAGGAUCACAGACUGCAGGAUGCAUUGGGGGCAGGGGCGCAGAGAUGCUUCUACUGUGGGUCCCAGAUUGGCUACGACAAUGGCUGGGCAAAACCUAAACCUGAUCUGUCUUCCAGUCUGCCUUACUCUCUGGAUGAGUUUGAAGACAUGGUGAAAUGUUUGAGGAAGUUCCAGGCAGUUCUGACAGAAAUCGAAGAGAGACUAGAAGAAGAACACGCAUCCGUGAUCAGAUCUCUGUCAGAUUCCCACAGGGAGGAAGUGGAAGAUGUUUUGAGGCUACGAGAAGCUGUCAAACAUGAAGCUGGGACGCUUGAACAGCAGCUGUCUGAUCUGGUACAUCACUCUGAUGACAGCAUUAAAAUGAAGCUGAAUCGGCUCAUGGACGAACAGUCUCAGCUGUGCACCCAACUGCAAAUUACCCCCUCUGAUAUGCAUCAUUCAGAGCCCACCUCUACCAGGAGCGUGGCCAUUCAGUGCUGCCUGCCGCCCGUCACGUCCAGUCAACAGCAGUGUGUCCAUCAUCACUGCACCUGUCAUGGGGCAUGUCAAGAUCCACACCGGUUCCCCUGUCAAACCCAAUGGGAGGCCAAUUACAAACCAGACAGGCUAGACUUCGUAGCUUUUAUUAAAAGUUUGAAAAAUUCACUACAACAUUCAAUGAAAAAUAAUUCAUUGGAAUAAGUGAUGCAGCAGUGAUGAAGACCCAUUUCACCGUUUUUUUGAAAGUCACUUAUAAAGUGAAGUGCUGACUCUUGAGCACAGAACUAAUAAAGAAUUAUGAAUAUACUAUUAUCAUGCGUCCACUUGAGUUUUUAUGUGUGCACAGACGUCUCUUAAUGUAGAGUGAACCUCCUCCCAGUAGCCUAACCGUCUCUCCUGCUCUCUUCAUCUUUGUGUCUUUGUAAUGAAACACUUCAUAUCAUUGUGGUGUUGCACUUACCAUAUAAGGAAACUGCUGCUCUCCUGAAGAAGCAGUGGAUGACAUAGUGCUGGUCCCCCGGUCUGAUUGGACAAUGAUCUGAUGGUUCCUCCACUGUUCCUGAGAUGCUCUCUCCAGCAGUUAUGGCCCAGUCUCAGGAACUGAAACCAUUUGCUGUUGAAAAUGUCAGUUGGCCUACUUUUUAAUAACUUCAUUUAAGAACGUUGUUGAACCUUAGAAAUAAACUUUUCCCAACUGGGACAGCUAUGGGGACCAUUUAAUACUAAUAGUGUUACAUUUUAGAAUAAAAAACUAUUCAUAGAUUUAAAAAAUCCAAAGGUAGCUAUUAUAAGUCAUCAUAACAGUUUUUAAAACACGUUUUGUGCAAUAACCAUUCAAUUGUUUAUCAUAUUAAAAAUAUUUUGGGCAAUGUUAAGGAGUUUUAAGCCAAUGUUGCUGUUAAAAUGCUUUGUGCCUACAAACUAUUCAAUGUUUUGCCAAGUAACAGAACAAUACGGAGUAAUAAUAACACUGUGAGAAACAUAGCUACCUGUUUGAAACGUUUUAGCAAAAAUAGGCCUCCUUCGAUGUCACUUCCUCAAAUAUGUUCUCAGAAAUACAAAAAUUAUAUUGGUUCAAAUCGUUGUCCUACCACCUAAACAAACGUAAAUGUAUCAAAGAAACAGAUCAGUAUGUGUUUAAAAUAUCAGUUAAAAAGGCGCUUUCAGAAUUUAGGGAUCAUGUGUAAAGUGCCACACUGUAUCCUUAUCCAGACUGACCAGGUUUUUACGUUUACAUUUAUGUUCUUGGCAGACGCUCCCUUACCAGGCGUAUAGGUUGGCAUAUGGACUUGUUGUGUUCAACAGGGUAGUAGAGUAUGGUUCAGUGAAUGAAAAUAUAAUAAAAACCACUUCACACGGGAGGAAGAAACACCAUUCACAUCAGAGGAGAAUAGAAAGACAUCAAAGCCUGUCAAUAAACAAUGUCCACAUUGUUUUCCAUUAUUAUUCAUUUCCUCUUAUUCACGCUCUCAACUAUGGUAGUCACGAGCUGUGGUGAGUGUAGAUGUGUAAAAUUAUGUUAAAUAUAAUUAGGCUAUUUAUGAUGUGGUAUAUUUAAAUUAUAUAUGGAUGCACUUAAAAUGAAAACCAAAUGAAGUGGGAAUAACUGAAGACAUAAUCUUAACACACUCCAUUUUACCAAACCUCACCUUCAUCGUGUUUGAAUCACUGCUUAAAGUGUUGAAGUUGUUUCAUUAACCUCGAUGACGUGUGUUCAUGGAAGCUGGGAUGAUUGACACAUGACAAGGGCCUCCGUCACCAUGACAACAGGCUCUAAAGGAGACAGAAAUAGAGGAGGCCCCUCCUCCUGAAGUACAUAACCCCUGUCUUUGAUCUGGCCUGCACUCGCUCUCCAUCUCUGCUGCACUGAGGUAAGGCCUCGCUCUUUCUUAUAAUUCACUUAUUUAGUUCUUUUCUAGAUUGAAAGAUAAAUACAAAAAUAUUUCAGAAGAUGUUAAUUAAUUAAAUAAUAGUUUUAAUAGUAAAAUGUUUGCAGUAUAUAAUCAAAGUUUUUUUUUUUGAGUAUUUAAACAGGUAUUUUUUUUUGUUUAAUGUUUUAUAAUUUAUUACCAUUUUAUAUAUAUAUAUAUAUAUAUAUAUAUAUAUAUAUAUAUAUAUAUAUAUGUUAUUUGUUACUUAUUGAAAUAUGAUUUAUU
Long non-coding RNA from Carassius auratus (goldfish), 3551 nucleotides. NCBI's taxonomy places the organism in Eukaryota, Metazoa, Chordata, Actinopteri, Cypriniformes, Cyprinidae. The record is from Ensembl.